This 492-nucleotide ribosomal RNA is filed under the name Fusarium oxysporum. Its description in RNAcentral is "partial 18S ribosomal RNA". The stretch from base 137 to 290 matches the Rfam family "5.8S ribosomal RNA". Lineage: Eukaryota; Fungi; Ascomycota; Sordariomycetes; Hypocreales; Nectriaceae. The record is from RNAcentral.
CCUCCCAACCCCUGUGAACAUACCAAUUGUUGCCUCGGCGGAUCAGCCCGCUCCCGGUAAAACGGGACGGCCCGCCAGAGGACCCCUAAACUCUGUUUCUAUAUGUAACUUCUGAGUAAAACCAUAAAUAAAUCAAAACUUUCAACAACGGAUCUCUUGGUUCUGGCAUCGAUGAAGAACGCAGCAAAAUGCGAUAAGUAAUGUGAAUUGCAGAAUUCAGUGAAUCAUCGAAUCUUUGAACGCACAUUGCGCCCGCCAGUAUUCUGGCGGGCAUGCCUGUUCGAGCGUCAUUUCAACCCUCAAGCCCCCGGGUUUGGUGUUGGGGAUCGGCGAGCCCUUGCGGCAAGCCGGCCCCGAAAUCUAGUGGCGGUCUCGCUGCAGCUUCCAUUGCGUAGUAGUAAAACCCUCGCAACUGGUACGCGGCGCGGCCAAGCCGUUAAACCCCCAACUUCUGAAUGUUGACCUCGGGAUGCAGGUUUUGCGUCUGUGUGG